Molecule: long non-coding RNA, 4432 nt
Organism: Triticum aestivum (bread wheat)
Lineage: Eukaryota; Viridiplantae; Streptophyta; Magnoliopsida; Poales; Poaceae
Exons: 5
Source: RefSeq, a predicted model, not a curated record
UGCUAAAGGGAUUUGCCAGUCAGCUCCGCGCGUGCCGCACCGUGUCUCGUCUCAAGUCGCGUAGGUCCCCAAUCCCCACAGCACAAACCCUAGCCUCCCCGAGCCCCGCGGCGCCGCACUCUCUCCUCCUCCUCCUCCUCCGUCCUUCCUCGUCAGCCAUCACAGCCAUUCCACCUCGCUCCUCUCUGUCCGACGACCAUGCCACCGGGAGGAAGCCACCGCGCAAGAGGUCAGGGGCCGCCACCACCGCGAGCUAGUGGACGCCCGUGGCGAGCCUUUGGGCAGGAAGCCGACGGGGAGCACGCAACAAAGCCGCGCCCGCUGCCAGGGUCUUCCCGCUGGAGGUGGAGGAGCAGGGGAUCCCGCCAGAUCCGAGGCGUGAGGGCGCGGCGGCGACCUGCAGGCAAAGGGCGACGGCUGGGGCGCUCGAUUCGGUCCAGUGCCAUGAGCCUCUCCCUGCAGGGUAGAGAGAAGAUGGGGGAAAGAGAGAAGGAAGGAGAUGAGGGAGAAAAGGAGAGGAAAGAGGAGAGGGAGGUGCAGCGGCAGAUGAAGAGGAACACCGGCAGAAGUAAGACAUUGUGCUGUUGAAGGAAUCCAUCAAGAACUGGAGGCACUGGCCUACGACAUGGGCAGGUAUGUGCUUCAUGAUUGUUGUUGGUUAAUUGAGAGUAUGUGAUGCUUGAAGAAAUGAUGUGCAAGCAGACUAAAUCUUUUAUCUACAUCUACAACUUAAUGUUUCAUGUUAAGAAAAGUAUAUCUCAUAUUUCCCCUUAGUGGCGGAGAGCAUAUUUGAGCAGCUGACUGCAGACUGGUCAUUUGCGUCAGUUUGAUUUGUUUGCGUAUGUUCACUGUUUUCUGUUUUCCAAGUGUUGAGUGGCUACAGUUUUGUCUGCUUUGCUGCUGUUGGCUACAUUUUUGUCCGCUUUGCUGCUGUUGUGCUUGACAUGAGCAAGACUAGGGGCAUGACAGUUCCGCACGGGGCAUAAAAAAUUCAUAGUAUCAGUGUCCAUGCCUAUAUGUCAGGUUAGGGUGUGUUUGGUACAGGGAAUGAAGUGGAAUGUAACGGGUCGGACCUGCACCUGGGAGCGAUUCCUGUGUUUAGUUGAAAAAGGGAACGGAACGCACUGAUUCCCUGGAGAGGAAUAUUCCCUCUAUAUGCCGAACCGGGUGGUUCCUCCAAAUUGGCUGGACCACGCGGAAUGCGUCUCUCUCGCGUCGUCCCCCACUCACCAACGAGGAAGGCGUCCUGUGCGGCGCCCCGCUCCCUCUCCCUCGAUGGGCAUGGCGGCGGCCAUACACCUCCCCCUCCUCUACGGCACCCCCUCGCCGCGGUUGGAUAUGCAGCCUUGUCGGCGUCUCCUUCCCCUCGCCGGAGAUGCAGCUUCGCCGCGUCUCCUGCCCCUCGACCAAGGAUCUAGGAAAGGACGGGGCGGCUCCCUCUCGAUCCGGCCUCUCCCUCGGCUCGCCCUCUGGAACGACGGCUCCUCCCCCGUCUUUCUCUCGUCAAGCAGCAGCUGAUUGCUCCCUCCUCCCGUUCCUCUCACCCAGUAGGAAGCAAUGAUGGCAGGUCAGAUGCAGCCGAUUUGUUGGGAAGCAGAGCAGAUAAGCAGCGGUCGGCUCGGCUUGUCUCCUUCCCGGCAGCUAGCCGGCCGGUGGCAUCCAGACACCUGGGCGGUAGCAGCAAGAGAAGCAUCAGCGACGGCAAGAGCAAGCUCCUUCGAUUGACUCUUUCUAGCUUGGCAUUCUCCGUCCAAAAAUCAGUAGUACUCAAACUUGAUUAGUGCUAGCUUUGUGUGCUCUGUGUUGAGACUGGUAGUAAUAAUUUUUGUUGUCAUUAAUACUUUGUGAUCUAGAUUUUGUGCUUCAUGAACAUUUGUUAUUUAUUUUCUGAAAAGUUGCUUUGACUACCAUUUUUAUAUAUAAACAAUCAAAUAUCAGGUUAUAUAUUUCAGUGAUAAAUCAUUGUGAAAUUAAAAUGUUGUUCAAAACUAUUUAUACUUGCGAGUGGAGUUAUAAAUUAUUGUGAGUGGAAUCAAAUUCAUUCGAUUCAAUCUCUCCAACCAAACACCGAAAUGUAACCAUUCCAUUCCAUCUACUGUGCUCAAGCAAACACAGAGACGGAACCGACCCAUUCUAGUGGAAUGGAACCAUGACAUUCCAUUCCACUUCGUUCCGCAACCAAACACACCCUUAUAUGCCUUUGUAAGGUAAUCAGUCGUGUAUGUCAAUGGCAGUGGUUUAAAAUACGUAAGCUGAUGCAUCUUGUGCUUGCUUGUCACUGUGUUUCUACUAGGCAAGGUCUGCAAUAGAUUAUAUAUAUAUUCAUUCAAAUAUGACGUGGUCUUCUUCCUUUGCCUUCGUUAACAUAUUUAUUUGGGCGUUCCUUUUCUCUGUACUUUGUUUGGGCAGUAUUUUUCCCUACACAUGUCCUUUUCGAUUAUAAGUUCAUGAGCUAAUUUGGUCAUAAUGUAACCCGGUCCUAAAAGUACUCUUGCACUGCAGAAUUCUCUUAUUUACAUGUUUGGUCAUGAUAUAGCUCUGUCCUAAAUCUACUUUGCUUUCAGUUUGAAUCUGUCAUGACCUGGGUAGAUAUACUCUAGACCACUGUUCAAGAAGGCGCUACUAGGCGCUCGCCUAGGCGCGCUUAAGCUCUGGGCGCUGGCAUAGCGCCUCGCUUUGGACCUAGGCGCUCAGAAAAGCGCCCAGAAAGGUCCUCCGGCAAGAAAUCGUGUUUCUCAGGCAGGAAAUCAAUCUCCCCAGCCAGGAUUUGACCUCCCCAGCAAAGAUCCAUCCUCCCCGACGAGGAUUCAACCAAUCCAGCAACAAAUCAACUGAUUCCGGCGAGAGAUCAAGCAUUUCCGGUGAGAAAUCGACUGAUUCCGGUGAGGGAUCAAGCAUCUCCGGCGAGAAAUCGAGCUUCACUGGCUGACUGGUUCCCAUGUGCAGCAAGGGAGAGAGGAAGGAGAGAGGCGGCGUGAGGUGGAUCCCUAAUUUUCUGUCGACUGUGCACGUAUGGGAGGCUUUAGUAGGAGAAUUGAAUAGAUGGGCCAGUGGUUUAAUGGGCCAGAUCAGCCCAUCUACCUUGUUUCUUCAUGCUACAGUGGAAACGCCUAGGCGCGCCUAGGCGACGCAUAAGCGGGUUGUGCGCAAGUAGGUCACAAAACGCAUAAGUAACGCCCAGCGCCUUCUUGAACUUUGCUCUAGACCUUGAUAUAUGAGUACGUAAUGGAAGAAGUGGACAUCUUGGUCACUGCAGAUUUUCUCUGUUCAUUUAAAAAAGAGUGAAUUACAAAAUUUGUCAUGACCUGGAUAGAUAUACUCUAGACCUUGAUAUAUGAGUACAUAAUGGAAGAAGUGGACCUUGAUAUAUGAGGUAGCUAUUCAUCCAUCUUGCUUUUUAGAAAAUUUGUGACCACAGAGGCCGAAGACGCCACCCUGUAAUGUCGCGCUGAUGGUAGCCCAUACUGCUUUGCCGAUGAAUAAUAUCGUAAGUGUAACAGCUAAUGUUUGAAUUUUUCAUACCGCUUCAGCUAACCUAUGAAUAGGUCUGCACUCUGCACCUACAUAUUUUGAUGAUCGUACACUGUUGCCGUGGCUGGCCAAUAUGAUGAUAUGUUUAAUGAAGGUUUUGAAUAUUCUAUUCGCAUAGCUCUGACAGGUAAGGAUACUUUAGGUUGCAGCUCAACUAUGUAUCUUUGGAUAUUAAUCUUACAACAUUUUAUUUCUUCUGUUUUUGGACUUCAAAUUUCUGCGAAUUGUGGCUUAACUAUGAUACUUUAGGUCGCAUGCUAAACUAUGUAUAUGUGAAUUGUGGCUCAGCUAUGAGGUUUCUAAUGAACAUUUUGGGUAUUCUAUUACUACGUCUUUGAAAGGUUAGGAUACUUUAGGACUCAGCCAUGCCUCUCAGUUUCCCGCCUUCCCCACUAAGCCAGAAGAGGUGGUAUAGUGGAGCAAGCAUCAGGUACUAAUCAGGUUAUUGAUGCCGCCGGAUAGCUGUCGUUGGCUAUAAUGUGAUUAGCAGGUGUCAAGCCCUCCGACGCCCAGCCGUUCGCUGUUGUCUCUGCCCGAAGAAGGAUUAUGGUCCUCCGCCUCUCUGCUACUCCUUUUAAAAUUCUGGUAAAAACACCGGCAUGUUGUUUGAGGUGCAUGCAUCGGUUGUAGCGAAGAUGUCCAUAUGACGAUGCAUUGCUAACCAUGGAGCACCGCAAGGAUUUAGAAUAUGUACCGCAACUUAGAGACUUGGCACAUUGCCACUUGCUCCUAUCACCAUGCAAGUGGUCGAUGCUUUAGUGUUGAACUAUUAAUUAAUCCAUCGUUUUUCUUUAAUCUAUGUGAUGGUGCCCCUUGCCAUAAAUACUUGUUAUGUGGAUUCAAUAGAAAUGAUGUUCUAAGCAUCUUUGAUCGUUAUAAAACAAAUGCCAUAGACGUUCAA